RNAcentral lists this ribosomal RNA (490 nucleotides) under uncultured bacterium. Its description in RNAcentral is "partial 16S ribosomal RNA". It matches the Rfam family "Bacterial small subunit ribosomal RNA", at positions 30 to 507 of the family's 1533-position model. The record is from RNAcentral.
AUUGAACGCUGGCGGCAGGCCUAACACAUGCAAGUCGAACGGUAACAGGAAACAGCUUGCUGUUUCGCUGACGAGUGGCGGACGGGUGAGUAAUGUCUGGGAAACUGCCUGAUGGAGGGGGAUAACUACUGGAAACGGUAGCUAAUACCGCAUAACGUCGCAAGACCAAAGAGGGGGACCUUCGGGCCUCUUGCCAUCGGAUGUGCCCAGAUGGAAUUAGCUAGUAGGUGGGGUAACGGCUCACCUAGGCGACGAUCCCUAGCUGGUCUGAGAGGAUGACCAGCCACACUGGAACUGAGACACGGUCCAGACUCCUACGGGAGGCAGCAGUGGGGAAUAUUGCACAAUGGGCGCAAGCCUGAUGCAGCCAUGCCGCGUGUAUGAAGAAGGCCUUCGGGUUGUAAAGUACUUUCAGCGGGGAGGAAGGGAGUAAAGUUAAUACCUUUGCUCAUUGACGUUACCCGCAGAAGAAGCACCGGCUAACUCCGUG